GGACUACACGGGUUUCUAAUCCUGUUUGCUCCCCUAGCUUUCGUGCAUCAGCGUCAGUUAUGGUCCAGUGAGCCGCUUUCGCCACAGGUGUUCCUUCCGAUAUCUACGCAUUUCACCGCUACACCGGAAAUUCCACUCACCUCUCCCAUACUCAAGCCCGGCAGUUUCUUAUGCAGGCUUCGGGUUGAGCCCGAAGAUUUCACAUAAGACUUGCCAAACCGCCUACGCACCCUUUACGCCCAAUAAAUCCGAACAACGCUUGCCCCCCUCGUAUUACCGCGGCUGCUGGCAC
This 292-nucleotide ribosomal RNA is filed under the name uncultured Acidobacteriota bacterium. RNAcentral describes it as "uncultured Acidobacteria bacterium partial 16S ribosomal RNA". The record is from RNAcentral. Lineage: Bacteria; Pseudomonadati; Acidobacteriota.